RNAcentral lists this ribosomal RNA (253 nucleotides) under uncultured bacterium. RNAcentral's name for it is "partial 16S ribosomal RNA". It matches the Rfam family "Bacterial small subunit ribosomal RNA", at positions 524 to 776 of the family's 1533-position model. The record is from RNAcentral.
UACGAAGGGGGCUAGCGUUGUUCGGAUUUACUGGGCGUAAAGGGCGCGUAGGCGGCCCUGUCAGUCGGGUGUGAAAGCCCGGGGCUCAACCCCGGAACGGCACCCGAGACGGCAGGGCUGGAGACCGGGAGAGGAGGGUGGAAUAGCCAGUGUAGAGGUGAAAUUCGUAGAUAUUGGCUGGAACACCGGUGGCGAAAGCGGCUCUCUGGCCCGGUUCUGACGCUGAGGCGCGAAAGCGUGGGGAGCAAACAGG